CCCCUCGCGCUGUCCCUCCCCUCGCGCUGUCCCUCCCCUCAGGAAAAGAGACUUCGACGUGAGGAAAACUUGAAGCGGAGGCUGGAAAACGAGAGGAAUUCUGAGGUGGUGCAAGUGAUCAGUAAUCCUCUGAAAAUCAAACGCUUGAAAAAGAAACAGCUGCGGAAGAUUGAGAAGCGGGACACGUUGAAGAUUUUGCAGAAGAACGAAGCCAGCAGGCGACAGAAGGGGACGAAGAGUACGGCGAAGUGAAGAAUGAACAGGAGCGUCGUUUGAGAUGGGGAUGGUGUUGGAGAGAUGGAAACGAGGGGAGUUGUGCGCGCACGCAGAGGGAGAGAGAGUGUUUUUCAGCUGGAACAGGAGCAAGUUACAAUAAUGGGAGAAAAUUUGCACGUUAGUGUUGUUAGGGACAGAGUGUUGCUCGAUGUUUUAGAUAGGGUGUGGGAUGGCUACUCUCUGUAGCUUGUUUCUAGUCUCUUUUCUUGUAAAGGGAUCAUCAGCUGUGUGAGUGGCUAUGUGCGUUCUCACACUCAGACACACUUCUACCAUAGUCCCAGGUUUUGAAUUGCUUUCCGUGGAGAUAUUAAAGUUUUAUUUUUCAAA
Molecule: long non-coding RNA, 603 nt
Organism: Rhincodon typus (whale shark)
Lineage: Eukaryota; Metazoa; Chordata; Chondrichthyes; Orectolobiformes; Rhincodontidae
Exons: 2
Source: RefSeq, a predicted model, not a curated record